CGCCCGGCCCCCAGCGAAGCCCGGGCCCGCCCCAGCGCCCGUCUGGAUCCCGGAAUAACCGGUGAAGACGGCUCCCCGGAGCCCCCCGCCCCCCGCCGGCUCUCCCGGACCCCCAGCCCGCGCUAGUCUUUCCCAGGACGCCCCUCCCGCGCAAAGGAUCAAGUCCCAGCUUCCCUUUCCCCCUCCAGAGUCUCCAGCGCCAACUGCCGGCCCGCAGGCGGGUCCCUGACCCGCAGUUACUCAGCUACGUCUCUGGUGGAGGAGGUGUCAGCGACUUGAGAGUGAGUGCGCCAAAGAAGAGAGAGCCACGCCUGAGCCUCCUUCAACAAAGCCUGCACUUCCUGUUCUUUUCUCAAGCGUGCUGUCAGCAGAUCUUGACUGAAAACUCUGUGCCCUACCCUGUCCUUGGCACCAGACGCAGGGGAAGGGAUUAGGCCCAGUCCCUCCUCUGACUGACAGUGCUAAACCAGCUACCUGUUCUGAGCAAGGCCUUUGAAGACUGGGAACAUGGAUUUGCCCAACAGCUGCCUGGCUUAAGGGUUGGGCCGUUGAUAUAAAAAUACAUAGCUAACGUCACCUACUACCACUCCCCCGGCUCUAUUAAGCUCCUGUCACACUAGCCUUCAUUAAGGUCCUAAACACGUCAAACUCAGCCACCUCACGGCCUUUGUAACUGCUGUUGCUUCUGCCUGAAACACUCUCCCCUGCUCCAAAGUUCCUCAUGUAGCUGUUCUCUCAUUCUUGCAGAUACAGCUCAAUGUGUCUCCUUAGAAACUUUUACUCUGCCCACCCGUUCAAAAUCAGUCUGUGGCCAAAAUUGGACCAUACACCUGUCUGCCCCUCCCCCAAUAGAUAGUGAUUGCCACUCUUCAGGUCAGAGGCUGUGCCUCAUUCAUCUCUGUUACACAAGGACUCAGCCAUAGAGCCUGAACAUAGUAAGUGCUCUGUAAAAGCUGGAUAACAUGAGUUAAUUCACUUGAACACUCAGAUACUAAAAACUAACACUCAAUACCGGAAUAUUGGAAAAUUGACCAGAACAGUUGAACCCCGACCUAGGUUCUCCUAGACCUAUUCUCUGAGCCAGGGGUCUUAAAUUCAAAUGGCAAAGUGGGCAGGUAGGUAAUACAAUUAAGAAAAGUAUGUAGGAGGCCGGGUGUGGUGGCUCACACCUGUAAUCCCAGCACUUUGGGAGGCUGAGGCGGGUGGAUCACGAGGUCAGGAGAUCGAGACCAUCCUGGCUAACACGGUGAAACCCCGUCUCUACUAAAAAUACAAAAACAUUAGCUGGGCUUAGUGGCGGGCGCCUGUUGUCCCAGCCAUUCGGGAGGCUGAGGCAGGAGAAUGACGUGAACCCAGGAGGCGGAGCUUGCAGUGAAUCGAGAUCGUGCCACUCCAGUCUGAUGGACAGUAUAGACUCCAUCUCAAAAAAAAAGA
Molecule: long non-coding RNA, 1434 nt
Filed under: Piliocolobus tephrosceles (Ugandan red Colobus)
Lineage: Eukaryota; Metazoa; Chordata; Mammalia; Primates; Cercopithecidae
Description: lncRNA (ENSPTEG00000016905.1)
Source: RNAcentral